RNAcentral lists this ribosomal RNA (497 nucleotides) under uncultured bacterium. RNAcentral's name for it is "partial 16S ribosomal RNA". It matches the Rfam family "Bacterial small subunit ribosomal RNA", at positions 28 to 507 of the family's 1533-position model. The record is from RNAcentral.
GAUGAACGCUGGCGGCGUGCUUAAUACAUGCAAGUCGAGCGAGCAGUCGAGGUGUUUGCUCCUCUGACGUUAGGGGCGGACGGGUGAGUAACACGUGGAUAACCUACCUAUUAGACUGGGCUAACUUCGGGAAACCGGAGCUAAUACCGGAUUAUAUAUUGAACCGCAUGGUUUAAUAGAGAAAGACGGCUUUGUUGUCACUUUUAGCUGGCUCCGCGCCGCAUUAGCUAGUUGGUAAGGUAACGGCCUACCAAGGCUACGAUGCGUAGCCGACCUGAGAGGGUGAGCAGCCACACUGGAACUGAGACACGGUCCAGAGUCCUACGGGAAGCACCAGUAGGGAAUCUUGCGCAAGGGGCGGAAGCCUGACGGAGCAACACCGCGAGUGUGAUGAAGGUCUUCGGAGCGUAAGACUCUGUUAUUAGGGAAGAACAAAUGUUUAAGUAACGAUGCACGUCUUGACGGUACCAAAACAGAAAGCCACGGCUAACUACGUG